This 306-nucleotide long non-coding RNA is filed under the name Elaeis guineensis (African oil palm). RNAcentral's name for it is "long non-coding RNA (EGUI_LNC053793)". The record is from RNAcentral. Lineage: Eukaryota; Viridiplantae; Streptophyta; Magnoliopsida; Arecales; Arecaceae.
CGCCCUCUCUUCCUCUCCCUUUCUCUUCUCUUGGGCGUUCUACACGCCCCAUCCUUUGGGACGUGAGUCUCAAGGAGUUCCAUGCUCAAGGUGUUGGGCAUUCCAUAAUUUAUUGGUUGCUGGUGUUUUAUAGCCACACAAAGCAAGAAAAAACUCUAGGGAAGAGGAGAAGAAGAAGAUCAAGGAGAAAGAUUAAGUAUUGAUCACGAUCUAGAUUUCGUUCAAAUUCAGCAGGCUGAAUUUUGGAGAAUCAAAUUUUAGAUUAAAGAAGACUGUUCCAGGCUGAUCCCAAGUGGAUACUCAUAG